AUUACAUAGCCUCCAAUAUCUCCAGCACGCCCACGGCAUCAUCCAUUCCAUUCCCUCACUAUCACUCCAAGCCUUCUUUUCUGCUGAAAAGUCUCCAUUCACCGCUUCUAAGUUCUGACCUUCAACCCCCCCACAAUCCCUUUCUUCUCCAAGCUUACCAUUCCUAUUUGCUAGAACAACCUCAUCAAGCAGCAAACUUUCUCAUUUACAAAGAAGAAAAUCUCAAACCCUGAAGUAAAUCUAUCAAUCAAACAAACAAACUAGAUACUUCUCUUUCCUUCAAUACUAGUGAUAAAAAAAACAUGGCGUAUGUAGAUCACGCGUUCUCGAUAUCCGAUGAGGACAUCAUGAUGGACACCCCCUACACCGUCAACAACCGCCCUCCUAUCAAGGAGAUCGCGCUCGCCGUUGCUCUUUUAGUUUUCGGCACCCUAGGAAUCGUCCUCGGCGUCAUUAUGGCUGUCAACAAAGUUGGUGGCGACCGAGCUCAUGGACUAUUUUUUGCAAUACUUGGCGGUAUUUUGUUUCUUCCGGGAUUUUACUACACAAGGAUUGCAUACUAUGCUUAUAAGGGUUACAAAGGUUUCUCUUUCUCCAACAUUCCUCCUGUGUAGAGUCGUUGGAGAAUCAAGAGUUGAUGUACAGAUAGAGCCCUUGUUCUUUCGGGUGUUACUUCACUGUCAUUCGUCAGAGCCUCAUUCCUCAACCCUAAUCUGUUACCUGCAUUCAACAUGUGCGGUUUUUGGAAGAUACAGACUUAUUUGCUUCUAGUGCAGUCUGUUUUACGAUGGGAGUAAACAAUCAUAGAUGUUAAUAGAUGCCUUGCUGAGUUGGAAGAUCACAGAUGUAAGGAAUUGAAUGCCAGUCAUUGCCCCUAUGAAACGGCUGCUUACGGGCCAGGAUAUGGAUGUGGCAUUGGAAUCAUUGAUGCUUGAAAAGCUAUUGGUGAGGCAAACACUUUCGUACCUAUAGUUAAAGUGAAUGGGCAAGAUCUCUUAGGGUGCAAUAGAGAAUUAUGGCCAUGCAAACUCAGAUUAGGCUAUAGAACCUGCUAUACAAGGUUUACUGUUGUACUGAAAGAUAUAAAUGGUCUUACAAUUUGAUUGAGAUCUUAAUAAAACAAUGUAUUGGUAUAAAGUUACCUUACUGCUUGUUGAAUGCAUAACAACAAAUUGUCAAGUCAGCAGAGGCUAAUGGUGGUUUACUGCAAGAGGUUGUGAUUAGCAUUUGAAGUAUGAAAUGCCAAUUCUCUGGAUAUUAAGGAGUGUAAAUCAGGAAAAUACCCUUUAUUUUGAUGCUGGAAACGGAAUGGGUAACUUUCAGGGAAAACAGCUCCGUGAUUGGCGUUUCUUUGGACUUUGCCGUGGUGCUUGUGGGAUAUCUAUCAAGAUUCAAGACCAUGCCGUGGCGUACCUGCUGUUAACUCUGAAGGGACAGAUGUCCAUAAUUAGUACUGUUUGAUGCAUACGAGAAUGUUGUGAUCAACGGCGCCGCCGUUGUCUGAGAAAGGAGUACGAAGAUUUGUCAGUUGAGUGAGUCGAAACUGCUUGCCUGUUUCAAAUGGUUCUAGUCCUGUUCAAUUUCAUGACUUGGCUUUCAAUCUGCACAAAGUAGAGUGCAUGUUAUGUUUAUCUUUGAAAUGUAGCUUUACUACUCUUUUUUUUUUUUUUUCCUUUUUCCCCCCGCCGUAUUGAAAUUUUGGAAAGAUGUUAAGAUAUAAAUAAUAUGCAGGGACGUUCGUGGUA
Coffea arabica (coffee) is the source of this 1745-nucleotide non-coding RNA. The record is from RefSeq and is a predicted model, not a curated record. NCBI's taxonomy places the organism in Eukaryota, Viridiplantae, Streptophyta, Magnoliopsida, Gentianales, Rubiaceae.